AAAUGCAAUGGCCAUGAUGAGAUUGUGGUGUCAGAAUUAAGCGGAUCGACGUAAUCUCU
Caenorhabditis elegans is the source of this 59-nucleotide non-coding RNA. Lineage: Eukaryota; Metazoa; Nematoda; Chromadorea; Rhabditida; Rhabditidae. The record is from Ensembl.